RNAcentral lists this ribosomal RNA (433 nucleotides) under uncultured bacterium. Its description in RNAcentral is "partial 16S ribosomal RNA". It matches the Rfam family "Bacterial small subunit ribosomal RNA", at positions 29 to 507 of the family's 1533-position model. The record is from RNAcentral.
AACGAACGCUGGCGGCAUGCCUAACACAUGCAAGUCGAACGAGACCUUCGGGUCUAGUGGCGCACGGGUGCGUAACGCGUGGGAACCUGCCCUUAGGUUCGGAAUAACUCCCCGAAAGGGGUGCUAAUACCGGAUAAUGUCUUCGGACCAAAGAUUUAUCGCCUUUGGAUGGGCCCGCGUUGGAUUAGCUAGUUGGUAGGGUAAAAGCCUACCAAGGCGACGAUCCAUAGCUGGUCUGAGAGGAUGAUCAGCCACACUGGGACUGAGACACGGCCCAGACUCCUACGGGAGGCAGCAGUGGGGAAUAUUGGACAAUGGGCGCAAGCCUGAUCCAGCAAUGCCGCGUGAGUGAUGAAGGCCUUAGGGUUGUAAAGCUCUUUUACCCGGGAUGAUAAUGACAGUACCGGGAGAAUAAGCUCCGGCUAACUACGUG